GUGGCUGUGGGGAGGGUGAAAAUGAAAAAUACUUUGUUAUUUCUAAUGGGAAAGGACCACAGGAAAAGGGAAAAGAGCACCUGGCAGAAUUCAGAGGUGAUAAUAAGGAGGAGAUGUGUGAUGGGGGGGCCUGGAAUGCUGCUACCUGAUGUCAAACACCUCACUAAUGUUAUUGACCUCACCACAGAAUCACAGAACCCCAGAAUGGUUUGGGAUAGAGGGGACAUUUAUAGACAAUCCAGUGCAACCCUUCCCAUAGCAGGGACACCUUCCACCAGAGCAGUCUGUCCAAAGCCCCGUUCAGUUGUGGCACCCACAGCUUCUCUGGGCAGCCUGUGCCCUUACCGCCACAUAGCAAAGUGUUUCAUCCUUACAUUCUAUCUAAAUCUACCUAAAUCAUCCUAUCUAAAUCACUAACGUGGGAAGAAACAAUGUCCAGAUGUUGGGGUAGAACAUCCUGAGAGGUGUGCUUGAAUCAUUUCCUGACUCCUGAAUGGAUUGGUUCUUCUGAUGAGCUGUGCCAUCAGCUUAGCCCAGAACAACAACUCUACAAUUAGAAAAGGAUCUUAGCUCAUUUCCCUGGGUUUUAUUAUUUUUCUUUACUGGCUUUUACAUGGCACAUCUUAGCUGUAAAUCUCAAUGUCAACAUUACUUUAGAUAAAGCACAACAGAGUGCCAGGCAGGCUCAGCAGGUAGAAAUAGAGAUUACCACGAAUGCGGAGACGAAAAUCAAUUGAGAUUGCACACAUCUUCCUGCCACCUUGCAGUUUGACCAAAACAUUUGCUUUCUUAGCUCUGCAAACCACCCCUGAGAGCACAGCUUUUGGCAGAGCACACCUACCUGCUGUUCAGAAAGCUCUGGUACAGCCACAUAUAGCAAAGGUCCUCACUGCUGUUUUCUUUCUCCUUCUCCCACACAUCUGUUUUGACCAGGCUUGGAUUGCUGCUUUAAAUAAGGAAUAGUAACAAUAAAGAAGGGUAACCGCCACAGCUGUGAAGCAGCACUGCUCUCUGGAAGGCAGGUUGACCCACCAGGAAGCUGCCCUGUGGUCUGUUAGCCUGCUGACCGACUCUUUGGUAUGUAGAAGACCACACUGCCUUCCCAUUCCCAAGGAAGAAGAGCUCUCACCUGCGCUUGCGGCCCAUGAGAUUUUGGAUAAACUUCUGCACCUGAGCGUUUCCUCUCAUCUUGCUGUAUUCACUGGUGAACAGUCCAUCCGAGUGCCUCUGAGUUCUGCAGCAGGAAAAAGACAACAGAAUGACUGCAACUCCCAGCCAUGCAACUUAUCUCAGCGCUCGGAAAUUUCUCCACUGUUUGGGAGACCCGUAUCCUUCCCCUUCUGCCUCCUCCCAUCUUCUACAUCCACUGGGUGAGGCCAGCACUGAGGCUGGCAUUGGAAUUGGAGGAAGCUCAGCCUUCUCAUUCAUUGCUGGGAUCCCAUCUCCUGCUCUCCCUGCACCAGUAUCAUCAGCUUAUCAAAAGGAUGUGGGGGUUUGAUGGUGUCUGGUUAACACUUACUGGGAACAGAAGUGUGGGACAAGAGAGUGGAGGAGGAAGAAAAAGAAUAUCCAGACACACAAACCCCGAGGACAAGGUGAGCCCUUCCCGACACCCAGGGCCUGGCCACAACGCUGCUAUCUACAGAGAGAGGAUCGGAGGCGUUUUCUCCACCCUCAAAUCUGAAAGAGAAAGGACCGUAAUUGGAAUAAGGGGAUUGACUGGUGGAUUUAGCCUCCCAUACACUCCUUUCUUGCACAGGAUGGUUUCAGGCGUGGUUUUAAUCUUUGCCACCUGACCUGCAGUUUUGGCUGUGAAGGAGAGGAGAGGGAUGUGGUGGGGGCAGCUGUCGGUGGUCUGGAGAAAUGGAGAGAGAAGGACCAUUAGUAAUGCAUAAAACAAAGGGGAAAGCCAUGUUCCCGCUCUGUUUUGAUGGCUUCCCUGUGCCUCUUGUGCAUGCAAAUGAUCUACAGCAAACCCUAAAGGACUCCCCCUGCGUGCAGGGAGUAUGCACCUUUCCGUGCCCAGUAGGAUAAGUAUCUGGGGUUCGUUCAAGUCCCAGCCUUGGAGAGGAAGAAGGAAGGAGAACCAUUCCUUGAGGCUACACGUCCCUCCGGAGCAGCAGGUGAUUUAGCAAGGAGCAAAUAACUCCAAGAAAAGAAGAUGCCAGGAUUUAGGGGUCCUCAGCAGAGAGAAGCAUCUCCCCCCAUCCUACCGUCCUCUGGGGGUGUGAGGGAUGUGCACGGCUCUGUCUGUCUAUCCACCUGUAUUGCACUCAGCUCCUAAGACGCCUUGGGGUUCCCUUGGAUUGCUUGUGCCUUCCUGCUUUGUUCUGGGCAGCAGAGUCCAGCAAGGCAAGGCAGGGAUGUGCUGUGCUUCAGUGUAUCAUAUGGCAUUCUUCUGGGUUGGCACCUGCUUAAAAACAAAGUUAAAUAUGGGGGAUGAGAGGAAAUCACUGGCAUAAGAUAUCACACUCCUGAAAGUGUGCCCAUUUGCUCUGAAGUCUGGAAGAUGCUGGACAUGCCAGUUAUCUCUGAAAUUGGCAGCGGUACCUGUGGGGAAGGACAGCAAAACCUUCGUGUUAGGAGAUUUGGGCUUUGCUAGAGCAGACCUCAGCCUUUUGGAUCAAAGCCGUAUCUGCUUUGAGCCAAGCCCUUGGGUGAAACCUGCCACAAAAUCCAGUUCUUUAGGAAUAAAGUAUUAGGUACUUGACACACGCUGGGAAAACAAAAUCCUUAGAACAUUUUGCUAAGAGCUGGGAGGAGGGGUGUGAUGGUGAUGGCACGUCUCACCUAGGAUGCUGGCAAAUGUACUGGUUUCCCAUGGGAUUGGGAUGAGAGAUGCUUUGGGAGCAAGCCAAGCCGUCCCUUAUCCAACUGCCUGGGGGAGGACAACGUGCAUUACUGCAUGGACAGGGCUGCUCAGGCUGUCCUUGGGCUCUUAGCCUGGCAUGGCUCUGCCCAACUGCCUUGUUCCCUAAGGCAGAGGAGCUCCAAGCACAGGCUCGUGGCAGCAGAGCUAUGCGCUAAUGCUCCCCAUGUGCCUGGCUUUGCCACAGCUCUAAUUGGCAUCAGCAUCUGUAAUCUCAGCCUCCAGCUGUUUGCUGCGUCUGGGGAAGAGGAGAAAGCACUUUGGGGAAUUAAUUUUAAUUAUAAAGAUAACAUGCUCCGUGACCCAGCUGGCAGGCGGCCCUGCCCAGCUGUUCCAGGUGUGUGGUGCCAGCCAUGAGCAAGGCAGCUCCCAACACCUGGACAUCAUUUUGGCUGCAUCCCUCUCCGUGUCAGAGACCUGACAGGGUUUGUGAGGUGAGGAGGUUCCUUCCGAGGCUCUUGCUGUGCCUUUCCAUACCUGUUUGAUACCGUGCACGUCUCCCCCCCAGGAGCUUUUCCUUAAUGAAUAGUCCCAGUAAGCUCACUGAUGUUUCAAGAGCAGGGGGGGCUCUCGAGGUACACUAAUUUGAUCUGUCCCAUGACACAAGCCCUUGUAUUUCAGGAGGUUACCCUUGCAUGAGAUCAAUUAUGUGGCUUAGUCUGAAGCCAGGCACCCACAAAAACAUCUAGGUAUGAUUAUAAGCUAAAAGAGACAGUAAAUCUGCCUGUUUUCUCUGUAGCUUCUUUCCCACGGCUCAUCACCAUUAAAAAUGCAUGAGAUUCUACAUCUUACAUGGAUUUACAUCCCUGCAGCUUCUUGGAGGGGGGACUUGGAGAGCCUGGAAGCCCGGAGAGCCCUGCUGCCUUCUUCCCUCCCUGGCAAAGAUUAACCCCAAAGGCAGGACGCUGCCUCUGUCUCUUUUCUUGGAAGUGCAUUACAGGCAGAUUGUGAGGCAGGGCGGCUUUGCUGGGGAUAGUGCUUUCAUAGAGAAUCACUCUGCUAAAAAUGUCAAAUAAAAGGAACAGGAUUGGCCGUAAAAGCUCUUUAUUUUCCUCCCUUUGUUCUGAACCCGAAGGCAGCCUCAGUGAUGUGUUGCCCAGCUAUCAGGGUGCUAUUCAACAGCUGACUUCAGGCACAUCUGUGCUGAAAUUUUGGCAGGUAAUUUUGUUCUCCUUUUCUAUGUCAAAAUUCAGCUCCUCAGGCAUGAACAACCACAGUGAUCAAAGUUCUGAGUGCCUUGGGACACCGAGAGGUGUCUCACAUGCAACCUCCCUGGUCCAUUGAACUCAUUAACAAACCAGACUCUCCAUAACCUGAGCCUGGGGAGACUUUGGGGUUCUCCUUCUGCCUCCUUGGCUGCCUGUUGGGGUUGAGCUCGGAGCUGGCUGCUGGGCAGUGAUGGUGGCAUUGCACUCUCUAGCAAAGUCCUUGCAUGCCACGGGCUGUGGUUGCACAGAAGGAAAGGAAGAGGUCCUGGAAAAUACUGAGCACGAGAACCUCGCUGCAGACUAGAUGUGAACUUGUACAGAGGGUCUCUCUAUUCCUGGUGCAGGGAAAGGGAAAGAGCAGAUGGUUCUCUGAUGGACUGGUCUUAUGUGAAGCUGGGGUGGUCCUGCUGGCAGAAAGUGCUGCUGUUCACCCCUCGUGUCCUUCACAGCGCCUGCUUGGUACAGAAUAAAGUAUUCUUUAUGUCAAGAGAAGCAGCUGCAGGUGAUUUCACAACCUCUCCAACCCUUGGACUGAGCCCAAAGGAUGUGCCUGGUGAACAAGGACACUCUGCAGGCUGCAUACCCAGGCAAAAAAAAAAGCAUUGUUCAAAACCACCGAUCGCAUCAGAAACUCUUCAAAGGUGCUCUUAAAUAUUCACCAUCCGUCACUCAAACAUCCCAACCCUGGCAGGGAUGCCUGAUAAUGCUUCUUGCUUUCUGCGAGGGUGACACACGGCUCUGCCAUUUGCCAUACUUUUUAUUUUUGCAGUGACAUGAGACGACUUCUUUGGAUGCGUUGACAUGUUACUCCAUCUCUUCUGCUACGAGCACAGUUCCUCUUAUCCAAGCAAUGGACUGUGCCUAUUGCUCCGAUCUACUAGCAGGGAAGAGAAAGCUUUCUGGGGACACCCACAGCAAAGCCACCAAAACAUUCUGGCCCACGAUUGCUUACAUGGAGCUGGGGAUGUGGUUUACAACCGCUGUAUUUGCUAAGGGCACGCUACAGACAGCACACACAGAGGAACCAUUGGACUUAGAAGCAGUGGGCAAGCAUUGCUGUAACCUGGGAGUUUGCAGUGGAAGAGCUGCCCUCAUUUUUUUUCACACAGAGGGUGGUGACGCACUGAACAGGUUGCCCAAGGAGGCUGUGGAUGCCCCAUCCCUGGAGGCAUUCAAGGCCAG
This is a long non-coding RNA of Gallus gallus (chicken), 5259 nucleotides long. RefSeq lists it as uncharacterized. The transcript has 3 exons. Lineage: Eukaryota; Metazoa; Chordata; Aves; Galliformes; Phasianidae. The record is from RefSeq and is a predicted model, not a curated record.